GCACCCGUAGCUCAAUUGGAUAGAGCAUCGGUCUUCGGAGCCGAGGGUUGUGGGUUCGAGUCCCCCCGGGUGCGCCA
RNAcentral lists this transfer RNA (77 nucleotides) under Planctomycetota bacterium. Its description in RNAcentral is "tRNA-Arg". It matches the Rfam family "tRNA". From Rfam's summary of the family: Transfer RNA (tRNA) molecules are approximately 80 nucleotides in length. Their secondary structure includes four short double-helical elements and three loops (D, anti-codon, and T loops). The record is from RNAcentral. Lineage: Bacteria; Pseudomonadati; Planctomycetota.